Molecule: transfer RNA, 72 nt
Filed under: Coemansia sp. RSA 1646
Lineage: Eukaryota; Fungi; Kickxellomycota; Kickxellomycetes; Kickxellales; Kickxellaceae
Also listed under: 4 other names
Description: tRNA-Thr
Rfam family: tRNA
About the family: Transfer RNA (tRNA) molecules are approximately 80 nucleotides in length. Their secondary structure includes four short double-helical elements and three loops (D, anti-codon, and T loops). Further hydrogen bonds mediate the characteristic L-shaped molecular structure. tRNAs have two regions of fundamental functional importance: the anti-codon, which is responsible for specific mRNA codon recognition, and the 3' end, to which the tRNAs corresponding amino acid is attached (by aminoacyl-tRNA synthetases). tRNAs cope with the degeneracy of the genetic code in two manners: having more than one tRNA (with a specific anti-codon) for a particular amino acid; and 'wobble' base-pairing, i.e. permitting non-standard base-pairing at the 3rd anti-codon position.
Source: RNAcentral
GCCCUCUUAGCUCAGAGGCAGAGCGUUGCUCUCGUAAAGCAAAGGUCGUCAGUUCAAUUCUGGCAGCGGGCA